RNAcentral lists this ribosomal RNA (858 nucleotides) under Gammarus sichuanensis. RNAcentral's name for it is "partial 16S ribosomal RNA". The record is from RNAcentral. Lineage: Eukaryota; Metazoa; Arthropoda; Malacostraca; Amphipoda; Gammaridae.
GGGAAGAAAUUUUUAUAAUUGUACCUUUGGUAUCAGGGAAAUUUUAAAGUAGACUAAAUUUAUAAUCGAUUUUAUUGGAUUUUUUAUUUAACUGGUAGUUGCAUUUAGUAGUUAUAGUUUUAAAGAGGUGAAAAGUUUACGACAAUAAUGGUAUCUAGCUAUUUUAACUAUUUUAAAGGGUUAAGCUUUUAAAAUUUUAUGUUUAUAAAUAGUUAAAAAAACUAGGCUUUAAAUUAGCUGUGCUUUUAAAUUGUUCCAAAUAAUUUUGUACUAAAAGUUAGAUAUAAAGUUGGUUAGAUUAUAUUUAUAGCUUUUAGUGAGUAUAAAUAAUGAAUUUAUUGAACAACUUAGCGAAGCUCAAAAAUUACUAAACACUAAGUGGACAGUUUAGCAAAAACAUUUUUGUUUGAAAAAUGAAGAGUAAGGCCUGCCCGGUGAAUAAUGUAAACGGCUGCGGUAUUUUGACUGUGCUAAGGUAGCAUAAUCAUUAGUUUUUUAAUUGGUAACUGGAAUGAAAGGUUAAACCGGUUAGUUAAGUUUGUAAAGCUGUAGGAGAAAUUUAAGUAAAGAUAAUAAUUUCUUUAUUUUCUAGGGGACGAUAAGACCCUAGAAGCUUAAUAAAUAGAUUUAUAAUUGUAAUAAUAAAUAAUUUUUUUUACUGGGGUGGUAAUAGUUAAUUAACUACUAUAUGUGUACAGGAUCCUUUUUAUAAAGAUGUAAUGUAAUAGUUACUCUAGGGAUAACAGUACAAUAUAUUUGAAGAGAUCUUAUCGAUAAAUAUGUUUGUAACCUCGAUGUUGAAUUAAGAAAUCUACGUAGAGCAAAGGAGACGGCAGAAGGUUUGUUCAACCUUUAAAU